Molecule: long non-coding RNA, 637 nt
Organism: Pan troglodytes (chimpanzee)
Lineage: Eukaryota; Metazoa; Chordata; Mammalia; Primates; Hominidae
Exons: 4
Source: RefSeq, a predicted model, not a curated record
GAAGGAAAGAGGACCCGUAUGGGAGCCGCAGAGAAGCACCUAGAACCCUGGGGCCUGAGGGCCGGCUGGAGGCAACACAGGGCUGAACCCCUGUCAGCCUGCCGGGGGACGCGGUGCCCGCCCUCCGGCAUCCGGGAAACAGCGUCCCAGCCGGCGCCUGCGCAGGUGCCACACUUCCUGGUCCUCUCUGGCUGCUUCUGAGGGCCUUGGCUCUGGCCGGGGGCGCUGCAACGGGCUCAGCCUUCUAGGGGUGGCGGGUGAAGGCCUACACCUGCCCCAGGACGGCCAGGUCCACCAGCACCUGCAACAGACGGAGAACUGAAGGAGCAUCUUGAAGCUGUGGCUGUCUUGAAGGUGUCGCCGCUUGUCCUCACGAGCACCAUUUUGAUUCUCGUGCCCUGUGUGCAUGGGUGGCCAGCGUUGCUGGUAGGGCUCCUGCACGCUCAGAGUGGCCUUGGCCAGGAAGUCCGGGGUUUCCGCAGGCAGAGUGGAUGAACAAGGUACUGAGAAGAUCACAUACUGCAUGUCCUCCUAAAACCUGGUCCUGGCAUAACCUUCUAAGCUGUUUUAUUCAGGUGGUUAUGGAUUUUGUAUUUGCCCAUGUUUAAUGAGCUUUACAACACUUCCAUCAGAGAAC